GUUUCGUGAAGUGUGUAUAAAAGUCAGGUGCUGUCUUUUUUCUAGGCCCACUCUUUUGGACGUGAGUCAGCUGGGCCUGAGUGAACUCAAUAAAGAUUCUCCUGUUUCAACCAGAGAUCUCUCUUCGUCUUCCUGAAUCUUGCAACAUUUCUGGCAAGCGAGCCAGUAGGCCCAUGGAGAGGACAGAUCGGCUGUGUCCUUUGCCUGUAGGUGAUCUGGGGCCCCAGCAGUGGGAGACCUAUAACUUCAGGCACCACUGGGAGAACUUAAGCCCAGAGCCCAGAGUAGGAAGCGGCUCUCCACCUCCCAGCGCCCUCCCCGGACAGUGCAUCAGAACCUGGAGGGUUGCAGGACAAUCUCAAGAGCUGCACGCAGACAUCUGAACUGCGGCCACGGAUCUCAGGUAAAGUGGAGUACAUGAACCGGACACUCAAACAGCUGCUGAAGAAAUUUUGCCAAGAAACUCAUCUAAGUUUCAGGUAUCAUGCCUUGGAUUCACCACAGUCAGCUAAAACCAGCGGCCCAGGAUCAGUGGAUCAGUCAAUGAGACCCAGACCAUCCAACACGGCUGAUCCUGGGACAAGACCAUGUAACCAGUAGAAAUAACAGCAGCCCUGCUCUGGCCACUCUAGAAGCUGGCCAGUCUACACACGGCGGAAGCUGGAGGAAAACUGUAAGCCCUGCUCUAGUCAUGCAACCAGAAGUUGACUAGUCUACGCAUGGCCGAAGCUUGAGGCGUCUUCAUCAAAUGAGUAGAUAUGCAUACAAAUUUUAUGUUUAAUUACUAUCUUAGUAUGACUAGUUAUUUUAUUACUAUGCUACCAUUAUUGCCAAUCUCUCUGCCCAAGGGAGAACUCUUUCUGUCCAUAUUUAGUAUAACAAUGUUACUUUUUGCCUUGGCUUUAUUUGUACCUAAGUCUACACGAAAAGAAAAGCACAUAGAUAGUUGCCAUCAGUGCGUGCACGCUACGUAAAUAAGAAACGCAGUAGUUAAGACUUUAUGGUACCGUACAUACUAUGAAUACACAGAAACCCCUCUGGAGACUUGUAUGUACAACCAAACAACCUAUUCAGUCUGUGACCCAAUGAAUAGCCAGUCUUAUGUAUACUAUAACCCUAAGCUUUUAUCUAGGACCUGGUUUAAGAUUUGCGGCCGGGCGCGGUCGCUCAAGACUGUAAUCCCAGCACUUUGGGAGGCCAA
Cercocebus atys (sooty mangabey) is the source of this 1201-nucleotide long non-coding RNA. RefSeq lists it as uncharacterized. Lineage: Eukaryota; Metazoa; Chordata; Mammalia; Primates; Cercopithecidae. The record is from RefSeq and is a predicted model, not a curated record. The transcript is spliced from 3 exons.